This 253-nucleotide ribosomal RNA is filed under the name uncultured bacterium. RNAcentral's name for it is "partial 16S ribosomal RNA". It matches the Rfam family "Bacterial small subunit ribosomal RNA", at positions 524 to 776 of the family's 1533-position model. The record is from RNAcentral.
UACGUAGGGGGCUAGCGUUGUCCGGAAUCAUUGGGCGUAAAGAGCGUGUAGGCGGUUCGGUAAGUCCGCUGUGAAAGUCCAGGGCUCAACCCUGGGAUGCCGGUCGAUACUGCCGGACUAGAGUUCGGAAGAGGCGAGUGGAAUUCCCGGUGUAGCGGUGAAAUGCGCAGAUAUCGGGAGGAACACCAAUGGCGAAGGCAGCUCGCUGGGACGUUACUGACGCUGAGACGCGAAAGCGUGGGGAGCAAACAGG